UUCAAAAGGAAUGGCUAUGCACCAACAACAGUUUAUCAUGAAUUCAAGAGACAUCCAAUGAUUAAGCUGAGCCCACUUUAUAAAUAAGAAGGCUAGCAUUUUUCGAGUAAAUAAAAAGACUAGCAUGGCCGUGAAGUUUGGACUGAUCAGGGAAUACUACUACAAGGCGCCACCGAAUUAGCCAUGCAAAAAGUUUCUCAUGCCAC
RNAcentral lists this long non-coding RNA (206 nucleotides) under Elaeis guineensis (African oil palm). RNAcentral describes it as "long non-coding RNA (EGUI_LNC032365)". The record is from RNAcentral. Lineage: Eukaryota; Viridiplantae; Streptophyta; Magnoliopsida; Arecales; Arecaceae.